This 1767-nucleotide ribosomal RNA is filed under the name Triticum aestivum (bread wheat). Its description in RNAcentral is "partial small subunit ribosomal RNA". Lineage: Eukaryota; Viridiplantae; Streptophyta; Magnoliopsida; Poales; Poaceae. The record is from RNAcentral.
AUGUCGCAAAGAGAUCAAGCACAAACACGAGCAAUGAAGAGCUUGGCUGCUGUUCUCCUCGUAGCGAUCCUGCUCCAGCUCGCCGGCUGCAGCCCUCCACCGGACCCGGUGACCUGCACGGAUGGCACGUCCAACUGCACGGUCACCAACACGUACGGCUCCUUCACGGACCGCACCAUCUGCCACGCGGCCAACGUCGUCUACCCGAGCACCGAGCAGGAGCUGAUCGCGGCCGUGGCGGCCGCGGCGUUGGCCAAACGCAAGAUGAAGGUGGCCACCAAGCACUCGCACAGCGGCCCCAAGCUGGCGUGCCCCGGCGGCAGCGAGGGCACGAUCAUAAGCACCACACGGCUGAACCGGACGGUUUCCAUCGACGCCGAGAGGCAGUUCAUCACGGUGGAGAGCGGCAUGGUCCUCCAGGACCUGAUCCAGGCCGCCGCCGCAGCAGGGUUAUCCUUGCCGCACUCGCCGUACUGGUACGGCCUGACCGUCGGCAGGCUCCUCGCGACGGGCGCGCAUGGGAGCGGGCUGUGGGGCAAUGGAGGCGCCGUGCACGAGUACGUGGUCGGUCUGAGGAUCGUGACGCCGGCGCCGGCGUGCGAUGGUUUCGCCAUGGUGAGGGAGCUAGGCGCCGAUCACCAGGACCUGGACGCCGCCAAGGUUUCCCUGGGGGUCCUCGGCGUCGUCUCCCAGGUGACUCUGGCCCUGCAGCCGCUGUUCAAGCGGUCGGUGACGUUCGUGGAGCGCAACGAGUCGGACUUCACGGCGCGGGUGCCCGAGUGGGGCCGUCUCCACGAGUUCGCCGACAUGAUAUGGCAGCCGCAGCACAACAAGGUCAUCUACCGCCAGGACGACCGCGUCGACGUCUCGACGCCGGGCGAUGGCCUCGGCGAGUUGUUCCUUUUCCGCUCCGUCCCCACCGCCCUGCUCGUGAGCGGAAGAGCCAUAGAGGAGCAACUGCAGGAGAACGGCACUGACAUCGCCCGGUGCGCGGCCGAGGAGGAGGGGGCCACGAGACAGCUGCCGGCCUUCGGCUUCACAAACGACGGGGUCUCCUUCACGGGGUACCCGAUUGUGGGGUACCAACACCGCAUCCAGGCGUCUGGCUCAUGCAUCGACGGCCCAGAGGAUGCCCUCCUCUCCUCCUGCGCCUGGGACCCGCGCAUCCGGGGAUCUUUCAUGUACAACUCCGGCUUCAGCGUCGCACUCUCCAAGGCGCCGGCGUUCAUAGCCGACAUGCUAAAGCUCCGGGACCUCAACCCGGACGCAUUCUGUGCCGCCCUCGACGGCAGGGUGGGCCUGGUCCUCCGUUACGUCAAGGCAUCCUCCGCGUACCUCGGCAAGCACGAGGACUCUAUCGAUGUCGACAUCCUCUUCUACCGGAGCCGCACCGACGGCAUGCCGCAUGCCCAUGCCGAUGUGGUGGACGAGAUCGAACAGAUGGCGUUGGGUAAGUACGGCGGUCUGCCACACUGGGGCAAGAACCGCAACUUCGCCUUCGACGGUGCGAUCGCAAGGUACCCCAAAGCCGAUAAGUUCCUCAAGGUAAAGAGCAGGUACGACCCGGACGGGCUCUUCUCGAGCGAGUGGACCGACCAGGUGCUUGGUAUCAACGGAACUCCCAACAUCAUCAAAAAUCAUUGUGCCAUUGAAGGACUCUGCGUCUGCUUCAACGACUCACAUUGUGCGCCGGAACAGGGCUAUUUCUGCCGGCCAGGGAAGGUUUACAAGAAGGCUAAAGUUUGCUCCUCGGAGCAGGAUUAUUAG